Long non-coding RNA from Suricata suricatta (meerkat), 110 nucleotides. RefSeq lists it as uncharacterized. The record is from RefSeq and is a predicted model, not a curated record. The transcript is spliced from 3 exons. Lineage: Eukaryota; Metazoa; Chordata; Mammalia; Carnivora; Herpestidae.
CAUCUCUGAAGUAAGGCAGGUAUUUUCCUCAUGCUAAAUCAUCAGCCCUGUGGAUGCCAGAAAGUCAUAGCAAUUAAAAUACAGAAAGGUCACCUUCUGAUGUAUUGGGG